The sequence is a ribosomal RNA, 399 nucleotides long. It matches the Rfam family "Bacterial large subunit ribosomal RNA", at positions 2008 to 2573 of the family's 2925-position model.
GGGCUUCACUGUCUCCUUUUUCCAAUCAGUGAAACUGAUCUCCCCGUGAAGAAGCGGGAAUCACACUAUAAGACGAGAAGACCCCAUGGAGCUUUAAACCCAAUAACAUCCCUAACCUUCUUUCCCACUAAAGUUUUUCAGCUCUGUCUAUUGGUUUUAGGUUGGGGCGACCGCGGAGUAAAACACAACCUCCACAACGCAUGGAACUAACACCACAUCCGAGAGCCACCUCUCAAAGAAUCAACAAAUUGACGUUAAUGAUCCAAUUAUUUUGAUCAAUGAACCAAGUUACCCUGGGGAUAACAGCGCAAUCCAUUUCAAGAGCUCCUAUCGACAAGUGGGUUUACGACCUCGAUGUUGGAUCAGGGUAUCCCAGUGGUGCAGCCGCUACUAACGGUU